UGUGGUACAUGUUGGUGUCAUGCC
Molecule: non-coding RNA, 24 nt
Filed under: Arabidopsis thaliana (thale cress)
Lineage: Eukaryota; Viridiplantae; Streptophyta; Magnoliopsida; Brassicales; Brassicaceae
Source: RNAcentral